ACGCUGGCGGCGUGCUUAACACAUGCAAGUCGAACGGAAAGGCCCUGCUUUUGUGGGGUGCUCGAGUGGCGAACGGGUGAGUAACACGUGAGUAACCUGCCCUUGACUUUGGGAUAACUUCAGGAAACUGGGGCUAAUACCGGAUAGGAGCUCCUGCUGCAUGGUGGGGGUUGGAAAGUUUCGGCGGUUGGGGAUGGACUCGCGGCUUAUCAGCUUGUUGGUGGGGUAGUGGCUUACCAAGGCUUUGACGGGUAGCCGGCCUGAGAGGGUGACCGGCCACAUUGGGACUGAGAUACGGCCCAGACUCCUACGGGAGGCAGCAGUGGGGAAUAUUGCACAAUGGGCGGAAGCCUGAUGCAGCAACGCCGCGUGCGGGAUGACGGCCUUCGGGUUGUAAACCGCUUUCGCCUGUGACGAAGCGUGAGUGACGGUAAUGGGUAAAGAAGCACCGGCUAACUACGUGCCAGCAGCCGCGGUGAUACGUAGGGUGCGAGCGUUGUCCGGAUUUAUUGGGCGUAAAGGGCUCGUAGGUGGUUGAUCGCGUCGGAAGUGUAAUCUUGGGGCUUAACCCUGAGCGUGCUUUCGAUACGGGUUGACUUGAGGAAGGUAGGGGAGAAUGGAAUUCCUGGUGGAGCGGUGGAAUGCGCAGAUAUCAGGAGGAACACCAGUGGCGAAGGCGGUUCUCUGGGCCUUUCCUGACGCUGAGGAGCGAAAGCGUGGGGAGCGAACAGGCUUAGAUACCCUGGUAGUCCACGCUGUAAACGGUGGGUACUAGGUGUGGGGUCCAUUCCACGGGUUCCGUGCCGUAGCUAACGCUUUAAGUACCCCGCCUGGGGGAGUACGGCCGCAAGGCUAAAACUCAAAGGAAUUGACGGGGCCCCGCACAAGCGGCGGAGCAUGCGGAUUAAUUCGAUGCAACGCGUAGAACCUUACCUGGGUUUGACAUGGAUCGGGAGUGCUCAGAGAUGGGUGUGCCUCUUUUGGGGUCGGUUCACAGGUGGUGCAUGGCUGUCGUCAGCUCGUGUCGUGAGAUGUUGGGUUAAGUCCCGCAACGAGCGCAACCCUUGUUCACUGUUGCCAGCACGUUAUGGUGGGGACUCAGUGGAGACCGCCGGGGUCAACUCGGAGGAAGGUGGGGAUGACGUCAAGUCAUCAUGCCCCUUAUGUCCAGGGCUUCACGCAUGCUACAAUGGCUGGUACAGAGAGUGGCGAGCCUGUGAGGGUGAGCGAAUCUCGGAAAGCCGGUCUCAGUUCGGAUUGGGGUCUGCAACUCGACCUCAUGAAGUCGGAGUCGCUAGUAAUCGCAGAUCAGCAACGCUGCGGUGAAUACGUUCCCGGGGCUUGUACACACCGCCCGUCAAGUCAUGAAAGUUGGUAACACCCGAAGCCGGUGGCCUAACCGUUGUGGGGGAGCCGUCGAAGGUGGGACUGGUGAUUAGGAC
Molecule: ribosomal RNA, 1442 nt
Filed under: uncultured organism
Description: partial small subunit ribosomal RNA
Rfam family: Bacterial small subunit ribosomal RNA
Source: RNAcentral